GCAGUUCACUGGGGGUGCCGCCACCGGCUGAGAGAAGCAUCUGCUUCAACCCUUGGAACCUGAUACGGGUAAUACCGGCGUAGGGACAGUGCAAACACACCAGU
Molecule: non-coding RNA, 104 nt
Filed under: Desulfotignum phosphitoxidans
Lineage: Bacteria; Pseudomonadati; Thermodesulfobacteriota; Desulfobacteria; Desulfobacterales; Desulfobacteraceae
Also listed under: 1 other name
Description: TPP sequence
Rfam family: TPP riboswitch aptamer (THI element)
About the family: Vitamin B(1) in its active form thiamin pyrophosphate (TPP) is an essential coenzyme that is synthesised by coupling of pyrimidine and thiazole moieties in bacteria. The previously detected thiamin-regulatory element, thi box was extended, resulting in a new, highly conserved RNA secondary structure, the THI element, which is widely distributed in eubacteria and also occurs in some archaea. Analysis of operon structures identified a large number of new candidate thiamin-regulated genes, mostly transporters, in various prokaryotic organisms.
Source: RNAcentral